CUAGCACAGGGUUUCCUAAAGUAUGGGUCGUCACCCCCUGGUGGGUCGCAGGGCGAUUCCUAGUGGGUCAUGCUGACCCAUGCCUCCAGGGCCGCCGGGGACAUAAGAGACCGUCAGGCAGGCUAAUUAGUCGGGCCCUCGAUCCGUGACCGCAGGCCCAACACCAGGAGGGGGCCCAGCGUCUUGCCCUGUAUGCCGAUGGGCUCCCUCCAAUCAGUCUGCCCAGCACCUCCGGUCUGCAGCUCCUCCGGGUGCAGACCUGAAGACCGUGUGAUAGAAGUCUCGAGAGCACCCAGAGCGUUACCAUGGCAACAUGACUGCAGAGUUUAUCCACCGGACAACCAGAAAGGACACUGGACCACCAGGGAAUUUCAUAAAGGUAGGACACAGCCCCAACACCCUGAAACCCCCAUAAUGUAACCCCUUCUCUCACUGCCCCCCCUCCACAAUGUAACCCCUUCUCUCCCUGUCUCCCCCACACUGUAACCUCUCCUCUCCCUGCCCCUCCCCACAAUGUAACCCUUUCUCUCCCUGUCCUCCCCGAGACUGUAACCACUCCUCUCCCUUCCCCCCCCACACUGUAACCUCUUUUUUCCCUGUCCCCCUCCCCACACUGUAACUCCUUCUCUCUCUGCCCCCACACUGUAACCCCUUCUCACUCUGCCCCCACACUGUAAC
Non-coding RNA from Pelobates cultripes (western spadefoot toad), 678 nucleotides. Lineage: Eukaryota; Metazoa; Chordata; Amphibia; Anura; Pelobatidae. The record is from the annotation of a GenBank genome assembly.